Molecule: long non-coding RNA, 589 nt
Filed under: Capsicum annuum
Lineage: Eukaryota; Viridiplantae; Streptophyta; Magnoliopsida; Solanales; Solanaceae
Description: long non-coding RNA (CANN_LNC014759)
Source: RNAcentral
AACCCAGUGUAUUCCCACUUAGUGGGGUCUGGGGGGUAAGAUGUACGCAGUCCAUACCUCUACCUCUGAUGAGGUAGAAAGGCUGUUUCCGAAAGACCCCCGGCUCAAGUCACGAGAUAUCACACAAACACAUAGUACAGCACAGAAGCAGAUGACAUAACAUAGAUACGGCACCCAUAAGGAAUAUAAAACAGAGUAAAGCAUGAAUGCAGGAAUACAAAGCAGAGGAAAGCACACAUAUUCGUAAUAAACAUGGAACACGGAACACGGAACAUUGAAUACGGAAUCAUAACAGGAAUACACCCCCACCAAUUAAUCCCCUACACUAGCGACCCGAACUGGCCCUAAUCCUCUGCCGUAAUUCGCAUCUUCCAGACCUUCCUAUCUAGGGUCAUGUCCUCGGUGAGCUGUAACUGUUCCAUGUCCCGCCUAAUCACCUCACCCCAGUACUUCUUCGGUCUACCCCUACCCCGUCUAAAACCAUCCAACGCUAGCCUCUCACACCUACGGACCGGGGCAUCCAUGCCCCUCCUCUUCACGUGUCCGAACCAUCUCAAUCGUGCUUCCCGCAUCUUACACUCCACUGAAG